This 31-nucleotide non-coding RNA is filed under the name Rattus norvegicus (Norway rat). The record is from RNAcentral. Lineage: Eukaryota; Metazoa; Chordata; Mammalia; Rodentia; Muridae.
UGGAUGGCAAACCUUCGAGAUUUUUGAGUGU